UAGGGAAUCUUCCGCAAUGGACGCAAGUCUGACGGAGCAACGCCGCGUGAGUGAAGAAGGUUUUCGGAUCGUAAAACUCUGUUGUAAGAGAAGAACAAAUUGUAGAGUAACUGCUACAGUCUUGACGGUAUCUUACCAGAAAGCCACGGCUAACUACGUGCCAGCAGCCGCGGUAAUACGUAGGUGGCAAGCGUUGUCCGGAUUUAUUGGGCGUAAAGGGGGCGCAGGCUGCUUCUUAAGUCUGAUGUGAAAGCGUGAGGCUUAACCUCAUUAAGCACUUGAAACUGAUAGACUUGAGUGAAGGAGAGGAAAGUGGAAUUCCUAGUGUAGCGGUGAAAUGCGUAGAUAUUAGGAGGAAUACCGGUGGCGAAGGCGACUUUCUGGACUUUUACUGACGCUCAGGUACGAAAGCGUGGGGAGCAAACAGG
This 428-nucleotide ribosomal RNA is filed under the name Verrucomicrobiota bacterium. Its description in RNAcentral is "Verrucomicrobia bacterium partial 16S ribosomal RNA". It matches the Rfam family "Bacterial small subunit ribosomal RNA", at positions 355 to 776 of the family's 1533-position model. The record is from RNAcentral. Lineage: Bacteria; Pseudomonadati; Verrucomicrobiota.